CGUGUAGGCGGAUCGGCAAGCUGGGGGGUGAAAUCCCUGGGCUCAACCCGGGACGUGCUUCCGGAACUACCGAUCUGGAGAGAGGCAGAGGCAGGUGGAAUUCCAGGUGUAGAGGUGAAAUUCGUAGAGAUCUGGAGGAACACCGGCGGCGAAGGCGGCCUGCUGGGCCUUAUCUGACGCUGAGGCGCGAAAGCGUGGGGAGCAAACAGGAUUAGAUACCCUGGUAGUCCACGCUGUAAACGAUGAGCACUCGAUGUGCGAGGUAUCCACUCCUUGCGUGUCACAGCUAACGCAAUAAGUGCUCCGCCUGGGGACUACGGUCGCAAGACUAAA
This 333-nucleotide ribosomal RNA is filed under the name uncultured bacterium. RNAcentral describes it as "bacterial SSU rRNA". It matches the Rfam family "Bacterial small subunit ribosomal RNA", at positions 568 to 898 of the family's 1533-position model. The record is from RNAcentral.